UGGGGAAUAUUGCACAAUGGGCGCAAGCCUGAUGCAGCAACGCCGCGUGAGGGACGACGGCCUUCGGGUUGUAAACCUCUUUUAGUAGGGAAGAAGUGAAAGUGACGGUACCUGCAGAAAAAGCACCGGCUAACUACGUGCCAGCAGCCGCGGUAAUACGUAGGGUGCGAGCGUUGUCCGGAAUUAUUGGGCGUAAAGAGCUCGUAGGCGGUCUGUCGCGUCUGCUGUGAAAACCCCGAGGCUCAACCUCGGGCCUGCAGUGGGUACGGGCAGACUAGAGUGCGGUAGGGGAGAAUGGAAUUCCUGGUGUAGCGGUGGAAUGCGCAGAUAUCAGGAGGAACACCGAUGGCGAAGGCAGUUCUCUGGGCCGUAACUGACGCUGAGGAGCGAAAGCGUGGGGAGCGAACAGGAUUAGAUACCCUGGUAGUCCACGCCGUAAACGUUGGGCGCUAGAUGUGGGGGCCAUUCCACGGUUUCCGCGUCGGCAGCUAACGCAUUAAGCGCCCCGCCU
Molecule: ribosomal RNA, 511 nt
Filed under: uncultured bacterium
Lineage: Bacteria
Description: partial 16S ribosomal RNA
Rfam family: Bacterial small subunit ribosomal RNA
Source: RNAcentral